RNAcentral lists this long non-coding RNA (463 nucleotides) under Chinchilla lanigera (long-tailed chinchilla). RNAcentral's name for it is "lncRNA (ENSCLAG00000028158.1)". The record is from RNAcentral. Lineage: Eukaryota; Metazoa; Chordata; Mammalia; Rodentia; Chinchillidae.
CCAUGUCCUCACAGCUCCUCACUGAGCAGGCCUGCAGAUGUCACCCAGACCAGGCCAACCCUGGACAGAUGUGGAAACUGGACCUACAGUGGAGGGAGGCAAAUGGACCAGCAGGCUCCCGAAGGCCCAUUUCAGUGGAGAAUCUCUUAGGCUAACACAUCAUGCCAAGGUUUUUGCUUAUCAACCCAGCCACCAUGCCAGGUCUUUGCCAGAGGGGCUGAUUCCAGAGAGUUGUUCUUCCAGCCAGAAAGCAAUGUGGCUCCCAUUGCAUCCAGAAGAAAGCACAUUAGCCAAACUCAUCAGACCAUUGCUGUGUACCACCAGCUGGAAGCUUCCUUCAACAUAGUAGCCUUGUUACAGCCCCUAACAUGCAUGGUGCAUUCCAGCUUCCACCUCUGUUCAUGUCCUGACAUCUCUGGCCUAGUACCAGCUCCUGGCCUCAGAUCUUUUAAUAAGACUUCUC